This 215-nucleotide long non-coding RNA is filed under the name Elaeis guineensis (African oil palm). Its description in RNAcentral is "long non-coding RNA (EGUI_LNC066527)". Lineage: Eukaryota; Viridiplantae; Streptophyta; Magnoliopsida; Arecales; Arecaceae. The record is from RNAcentral.
UAUAAGAGUAGGAUGCACAUCUAGAUAGAAUCUAUUGAUCUUGAUAGAGAGGAGUAGUCCUAUAGGAUUUGAGUGGCUAAGUCUGAGAGUUUGUGGCCAUCGCAGCAUGAUUGAUGAAAAAAAAUUUCUAUAAAGAUCAUAAUUGAAUUUAAGCUGAUCGAAUCUAUAAUAUGAUUGAUGAUGAGGUUUGAUGAUUUAUCCAUGACUUGCCAUCU